Molecule: non-coding RNA, 4579 nt
Organism: Pelodiscus sinensis (Chinese soft-shelled turtle)
Lineage: Eukaryota; Metazoa; Chordata; Testudines; Trionychidae
Source: RefSeq, a predicted model, not a curated record
CGCGCAGGCGCAAUGACCGGGUGGCGGAGCCUGAGGAAGCAGCUUCGCUGAGGAGCGGCGGAGGACGCUGGGUGCCUGCGCUCGAUUUAAGAACAGAAGUCAGCCUCUAUUAGAAAUCUGAAAAGCUUUCUACUAUUCAAACCAUGACACUUCCAUUCCGAAAAGAUUUGGACAAGUACAAGGAUCUUGAUGAGGAUGAAAUUCUUGGCAAGCUGUCAGAAGAAGAGCUAAAACAACUGGAAACUGUUCUGGAUGACCUUGAUCCUGAGAAUGCACUUUUGCCAGCAGGCUUCCGACAAAAGGAUCAGACUACUAAAAAGUCCGCAGGCCCUUUUAACAGAGAGCAACUCCUUGCUUAUUUGGAGAAGCAAGCACUGGAACAUAAAGACAGGGAGGAUUUUGUUCCUUUUACAGGGGAAAAGAAAGGGAAAAUAUUUAUCCCCAAGCAGAAGCCUGUACAGUCUUUCAUAGAAGAAAAAGUCUCUCUUGAUCCAGAACUGGAGGAAGCUUUAACAAGUGCUACAGAUACAGAACUGUGUGAUCUUGCAGCUAUCCUGGGAAUGCACAACUUGAUACCCAACUCUCAGUUCUGUGAUGUAGUAGGAAGCAGUAAUGGUGUCAGCAAUGAAAGCUUCACAGAUAUUGUAAAAGGUGAAAGGAUUAUACCAGUUUUAGAUGAACCACCAAAUCCCACAAAUGUGGAGGAGAGUUUGCAAAGAAUUAAAGUUAAUGACUCUCGCCUUGGUGAAGUUAAUCUGAACAAUAUCAAGAACAUCCCAAUUCCAACACUGAAAGAAUUUGCCAAGGCUUUGGAAACCAACACUCAUGUGAAGAAUUUCAGCCUUGCAGCCACUAGAAGUAAUGACCCUGUUGCUGUUGCUUUUGCAGACAUGCUGAGAGUGAACAAAACAUUGAAAAGUCUAAAUAUAGAAUCCAAUUUCAUCACCGGAGUUGGCAUUCUGACAAUGAUCGAUGCUCUAAAAGAGAAUGAAACCCUAACAGAGGUCAAAAUCGAUAACCAGAGGCAGCAGUUGGGAACAGCUGUAGAAAUGGAAAUUGCCAAAAUGCUUGAGGAGAACACAAAUAUCCUUAAAUUUGGAUACCAUUUCACACAACAGGGACCACGAACCAGGGCAGCUGCAGCUAUCACAAAAAACAAUGAUUUGGUCUGGAGUAUACGAGUAAAAUUUUCUGCAAAUGCCUUUUCAUCUCUCCAGCCCUGACGCUACAGAGACAGGUUAUUGUGAAUACCCAGUUGGGUAUUGAGCACUGAAAUGGAAAUGUUUAGUCUCGCAUCACUGUCUUUUUCGCAAGAGAAGGGUUGAAGGAGACUACCACUAAACUUUGUGGCUGCUAGAAUUGUAUUGUGUGAAGAUUUCAAAAGUCCUCAAGGCUCAUUGUGGACGUUGGCAAUCUCAGACUUCAUUUACCUGGGUAGAAGGGAAAAGACUGGAAACCCCAUUCCUUUUUAGUAAAGUUAUAUUUAGAUCUGUAUGAUAUGCAUCACAUUUUUCAGUUUGAGACAUAGUAACAGCACCAGACUGCAAAAUCAGUUUGAGAACUUUUUUGUAUUUCAAGACUUUAGGUAUACUUUCCACUAAAAUAAUGUAAAUUGUGAAAUGAGUGUAAUUCUUGUCUAUAUUCAAAGAAUGACUCAUGAAGGGAUCAGUGAGCAAACAGUGGAGUAUGUUUCUGAUAGGAAAUCUGGGGAUGUUUAUUUAAAUGGAGGGAUUUAUAUAUUUUUGGGAACAAUGUUUCAGAGAAAAGGGAUUCUUCACACAGAACAAUUGGACUCUUAUUUUGUAGCUAUUACUUGAGCUCUCUUGUUCACAUACACUGAACAUAAAUCUUUCACAGCUGUCAGUUGCAGUUCUUCCUUUUUAAUUUUUUUGUUGAUUGGUUAAUAUGCUUUCUUGAUACUUCAAUAAAGCUUAAAAGUCAUCUCUUUUUUUAUGUAAACAGGAAUUGAAUAAGGGCUCCAUUAUAUUUUGGAGAGCUAAUUAAAAUACGAGGAUGAGUGUCCUGAAAAAUCUACAUCUGUACUAAACUAAACAAAAAAAAAGAGAAAAAGCGUCCAAAGUAGCUUACCUUUCUGAAUAGUUAGAGACAGUACUUUGUUCUGAUGUCUCUUAACUGGACUUCAGAUUGAUUUGGUAUGUUCAUCAGCAUUGUUUAUAUUCUUGUAUAAAAAUUUGUAUCUAAAUACCUUAAGUGACAUAGGUGUUUUCUAGCAGUAGUGGACAUGCAUUCUUUAAGAAAUGCUGGUAGUGUGCAUAGGAAAAGCAGUUUCAUGCAUUUUAAAUCAGGCUCCUGUGGCAGCUUGCAACUAAGAAAUCCUGUUUUAAAGCUAGUAAACUGAAAAUAGCUGUCAACCAUACUUUCUGUGAAAUAGUGACCACUGUGUUAGAUGGAUCUUUACCUUCCACUGUGAAAAAAGGUCCUCUUGUCCCAUCAUCACAACAAACUUUACAGAAACUUAAAAAAGGUAGUGUUUAAUCCGCAGGGGGUACAUUCUUGCUGUUAUUUCGAGCCAUUUGUUUUAAAAAGAAAUAUUUAGAGCUCUGUUUCUAGGAAAACAAAUUAGUGAACAAAAGUCACUUCUGUUUCUGUACAUAACAGCAUAGACUCUUAGGUUUUAUUUGUGCUACUUUUGAAUUGCACUAUACUUGAUUACACAGUAUUGACCAUUAGACCAUAGCAGAACAUGUUCCAAGGAAUUGGACAGUUUAUUUACAGUAACUUUUAUAAUUCAACUAAUGUAACUUUCCAGUGUCCAUAAAAUGAACAUAAUUACAGUAUAUUUUUGUAAAAGCCAUAUAGGUGAUGUGGAGAAAAAAUGGGAUUUUUGCAUCAUGUUUAAGUAGAGUCUUAAUUGUAAAACUUGUUCUUUAGAAAGGUCCCCUAUUGUGUCUAUUUCUGUGUUACUCCAAAUCACAUUUUAGGUCUUUAGAAAGUACAGACUUCAGUCUGAAAAUGAAUUAAAAUUGUACGGCAAAUACAGUGCAACUUUUACACUAUAUAUAGCACCUUCAAUGAAGAGAUAACUAAGUUUUAUAAGGGUGGAAAAAUGAAUUACCAUUUCAAAAGUGGAAAUGUUGUGAUUAAUUCUGAAUAAACAUCAGUGUAUUGUGGCCUAAAAGACAUGGAUGUAACCAUGUGAAAAUGAAAGGAAGUUGAAAUGAAUGUUAUUGAAAAACCAAAGAUUUCCUACUCUGCACAUUUUUUAAUAGACAGAAAUGUGAAUUGUUGGUCAUAAGAGAUUCCUUUUGCCUUAGUUUACAAUAUUUAAUUUUUUACAUAAUUUAAGCAGUCUUUGUGAGAAUGCUAUCCUAAAGUUUAAGUUCUUGUACAUGUACAUGCAAACUCAUUUUAAAAGCUAAAUGUCUUUUCAAGAGAUGGUGCUAUAGAGGUGUGGCCAAAGCAUGGUAUACAAUUGAGUUUUCUGAAGCUAUUUUACGGUGCCUAAUGUUUAAAACACCAGGUAAUAAUUUUGUGUCAAAUCAGCAAAAAGCAGAAAAACCUUCUCUUCCUUCUGUUGUCUAAAGUGUGCAUAUUUACAAAAUCUCAUUUUUGUAAUACCUGUUUUAUCUGCAUCUAGGCAUAUUAGCCGGUUGCUUUAUACUUGUAAUUGAAGAUAGAGGAGGAAAGUGAAACGCAAUGAUGUGGGGGGAGAAUUGGUAACGAAAAGCAUUUCUUGUUCUCUAUGCUACUUGUUUGAAUUCUGUCCGGCUCAUCAGUGGCGUAAGUGGAAAUCAAUGGUUGGUUGAAGACACUGUGGUCAGGAGUCCUGUCACAGUUGAAAGUUGUGCCAGAUUCUUAAUGGCAUAGCACCAGUGAAAUCAGUUUGAUAGUUCUGUUAUGAACGGCUGAGGGGCCACAUGGCGGCAGCAACCUUAGCAAAGAAAUCAGACAGAGUGAACAUAGAGAAUGAACCAUUCAGGCUUGUUCCCUCCAACUUAGGUUUGAGAUACAUUUGGAAGACCAAUAUAAAGAUGCUUUAAUAAUUGCUGCUUUUGUGUGUGGAUAAAUAAAGGAAUCCUGUCUCCAGAACUGUCAAGUUACCGUAAUCAAACUCAGCAAGCAAAGCUGACUUCUUGAUUUAUGGACUUCAAAUAUAUAGUAAGCUCUUGGAUAUGAUGAGCUCAUAUUUUAUCAGUGGUAUUUCUAUAGCAAUAAAUGACUAUAAAAAACAGGGUACUUUUCCAAAAAAGGUGGUGAUUAUGUGCUUUCUUUAGUCUAAUUGAUUCAUAGUUAAAUCACUUUGCUUUUUAAAAUAUGCAUUAAAUCUGGAAAUCAAGUAACCACACACUUUGAUAGUUUGGGGUUCCAUUUUUAAUAUACAGAAUCAUAGACUAAAUAUGUACCCCAAACAUUCUACAAAUUAUCUACUUACAAUUAUACUCUAGAAAAAUGUCCUCAUCAUCUCCACAGCUUUUAAGUAUGAAUAAUGCUGAUUGUAAGCUAUGAAUUACAGAGUCUGUUAAAUUUAAGUUUCUGUUGAGGAAACAUGAACUGAGUAUUUUAGCAUAUCAGCACUGUAGGCUGUCAAGUUGUAUUACAUUAAAUUUUCUGAAACAUA